AAAAGAACCAGGUUCUCAUCUUCAUUUCAAUGAGAAAAAAAAAAGUACAAUCAAAGGGUUUAUAAGGCUGUUCAAGAGCUAUUGAUCUGAUAUGAUCAGAUGAUUAUAUUUCAAAUCCUAAUCAUUGAAAAAAAAACAACUAUUUAAUUCAUUAUACAUUUGAAAUUUAGACCUAAAUGGAUUUCAACUAUUAAUGUAUUUUUUUUUUAAUAUUUUCUUGCCAUACACCAAUUUCUGUUGUGUUAACAAAAGAUCUAAUUUGUG
This 264-nucleotide unclassified non-coding RNA is filed under the name Hevea brasiliensis (rubber tree). The record is from RNAcentral. Lineage: Eukaryota; Viridiplantae; Streptophyta; Magnoliopsida; Malpighiales; Euphorbiaceae.